AUUGAACGCUGGCGGCAUGCCUUACACAUGCAAGUCGAACGGCAGCACGGGAGCAAUCCUGGUGGCGAGUGGCGAACGGGUGAGUAAUAUAUCGGAACGUGCCCAGUCGUGGGGGAUAACGCAGCGAAAGCUGUGCUAAUACCGCAUACGAUCUACGGAUGAAAGCGGGGGAUCGCAAGACCUCGCGCGAUUGGAGCGGCCGAUAUCAGAUUAGCUAGUUGGUGGGUAAAGGCCCACCAAGGCGACGAUCUGUAGCUGGUCUGAGAGGACGACCAGCCACACUGGAACUGAGACACGGUCCAGACUCCUACGGGAGGCAGCAGUGGGGAAUUUUUGGACAAUGGGCGCAAGCCUGAUCCAGCAAUGCCGCGUGCAGGAUGAAGGCCUUCGGUUGUAAACUGCUUUUGUUACGGAACGAAAAGGGUUUACUAUUAAUACUAGGAGCUCAUGACGGUACCGUAAGAAUAAG
Molecule: ribosomal RNA, 469 nt
Filed under: uncultured bacterium
Lineage: Bacteria
Description: bacterial SSU rRNA
Rfam family: Bacterial small subunit ribosomal RNA
Source: RNAcentral